Molecule: small RNA, 351 nt
Filed under: Rattus norvegicus (Norway rat)
Lineage: Eukaryota; Metazoa; Chordata; Mammalia; Rodentia; Muridae
Description: uncharacterized LOC108352800
Source: RNAcentral
CUUUCACAGUAUUUUCUGGAACUCUGGAAUCUAGAUGGCAGAAAAGAAGCUUGCAGGACAGAUCCAGUUUUAAUCAUCAAAGUCUUGUUUCUCAAGUGUCUUCAGCAAGAGAGACCACCCUCAAGACUGAGAGCUGAAUAAAAUUCUACUAUGUGUAUCUACAACCCUUCUACUUUCCAUUCCUUAAUUGAUGGAUGAUCAGGCUGAUUCAGUUUCAUACCUAUCCUGGCAAGAUAAGGUUUUAUAAAUGGGGGAGCCUAGCCUCCAGGAAUGAGCCAAUAUGAAUGGCGUAAAGAAAGUUCUUCUUUGGCAAUUGAAGCCAUAUUGUGAGUUUAUAAAGUAAAUCAACAG